RNAcentral lists this ribosomal RNA (409 nucleotides) under Stenotrophomonas sp. LL93. RNAcentral describes it as "bacterial SSU rRNA". It matches the Rfam family "Bacterial small subunit ribosomal RNA", at positions 212 to 613 of the family's 1533-position model. The record is from RNAcentral. Lineage: Bacteria; Pseudomonadati; Pseudomonadota; Gammaproteobacteria; Lysobacterales; Lysobacteraceae.
CUUGCGCGGAUAGAUGAGCCGAUGUCGGAUUAGCUAGUUGGCGGGGUAAAGGCCCACCAAGGCGACGAUCCGUAGCUGGUCUGAGAGGAUGAUCAGCCACACUGGAACUGAGACACGGUCCAGACUCCUACGGGAGGCAGCAGUGGGGAAUAUUGGACAAUGGGCGCAAGCCUGAUCCAGCCAUACCGCGUGGGUGAAGAAGGCCUUCGGGUUGUAAAGCCCUUUUGUUGGGAAAGAAAAGCAGCCAGUUAAUACCCGGUUGUGCUGACGGUACCCAAAGAAUAAGCACCGGCUAACUUCGUGCCAGCAGCCGCGGUAAUACGAAGGGUGCAAGCGUUACUCGGAAUUACUGGGCGUAAAGCGUGCGUAGGUGGGUGUUUAAGUCUGUUGUGAAAGCCCUGGGCUCAAC